UACAGAGGGUGCAAACGUUGUUCGGAAUUACUGGGCGUAAAGCGCGUGUAGGCGGCCAUCUAAGUCGGGCGUGAAAUCCCACGGCUCAACCGUGGAAGUGCACUCGAAACUGGAUGGCUAGAGUCCUGGAGAGGAAGGUGGAAUGCUUGGUGUAGAGGUGAAAUUCGUAGAUAUCAAGCGGAACACCGGUGGCGGAGGCGGCCUUCUGGACAGUGACUGACGCUGAGGUGCGAAAGCGUGGGGAGCAAACAGG
Molecule: ribosomal RNA, 253 nt
Filed under: uncultured bacterium
Lineage: Bacteria
Description: partial 16S ribosomal RNA
Rfam family: Bacterial small subunit ribosomal RNA
Source: RNAcentral